GUGAAUCAUCGAAUUUUUGAACGCAAAUUGCACUCUCCUCGGAGAGUAUGCCUGUUUGAGGGUCAGACUAUAAAAAAUCUAUAUAGUUGAUGUUUCGCGGUGGCGUUCGUCGGAAAUGGGGGAAUCUUAAAUCUUUUGGUUUUAAGAGACUUAAAAUGUUCUUUUUGGUUCGAUGAAAGUUUCUAAGAUUUAUUUUUUUACAAGUUUAAGGUAUCGAUUUUUAUUAGACGUGACCAUCAUAUCGGAUCGAGUAUACAAUGUUUCAUUAACUGAGCUCAGAUAUG
RNAcentral lists this unclassified non-coding RNA (284 nucleotides) under Glomeraceae sp. Its description in RNAcentral is "partial contains 5.8S ribosomal RNA and internal transcribed spacer 2". The stretch from base 1 to 65 matches the Rfam family "5.8S ribosomal RNA", at positions 84 to 154 of the family's 154-position model. Lineage: Eukaryota; Fungi; Glomeromycota; Glomeromycetes; Glomerales; Glomeraceae. The record is from RNAcentral.